Small nucleolar RNA from Rattus norvegicus (Norway rat), 125 nucleotides. Ensembl annotates it as small nucleolar RNA SNORA17. The record is from Ensembl. Lineage: Eukaryota; Metazoa; Chordata; Mammalia; Rodentia; Muridae.
ACUGCCCCCAUAGAGGCACUGCAAGCCUGUCUGCUGUGUCUCAAGUGCAUUAGUAGGUGGCAGAGAAGAGACAGACUAUGUUUGACCUCUGAACAUCUGAAUAAUUAGGAAGCUAAACUAACAUU